This 437-nucleotide ribosomal RNA is filed under the name uncultured bacterium. RNAcentral's name for it is "bacterial SSU rRNA". It matches the Rfam family "Bacterial small subunit ribosomal RNA", at positions 340 to 773 of the family's 1533-position model. The record is from RNAcentral.
UACGGAAGGCAGCAGUGGGGAAUAUUGCACAAUGGGCGCAAGCCUGAUGCAGCCAUGCCGCGUGUAUGAAGAAGGCCUUCGGGUUGUAAAGUACUUUCAGUCGUGAGGAAGGUGUUAAGGUUAAUAACCUUAGCAAUUGACGUUAGCGACAGAAGAAGCACCGGCUAACUCCGUGCCAGCAGCCGCGGUAAUACGGAGGGUGCGAGCGUUAAUCGGAAUUACUGGGCGUAAAGGGCACGCAGGCGGUUAAUUAAGUUGGAUGUGAAAUCCCCGGGCUUAACCUGGGAAUGGCAUUCAAGACUGGUUAGCUAGAGUCUUGUAGAGGGGGUAGAAUUCCAUGUGUAGCGGUGAAAUGCGUAGAGAUGUGGAGGAAUACCGGUGGCGAAGCGGCCCCUGGACAAGACUGACGCUCAUGUGCGAAAGCGUGGGGAGCAAAC